CCAGUCUGCUGCUACAAGAGCUCCAGAUCUGCCUCCAGAUCUCCUGCUGAAGAAUCCAGCUGAAGAAUGAAUCUACAGAUCUCCAGUUCUUGGUGUGUUUGGCUCCAGGUGUCCCUUCAGUCUCCAGUCGGCUGCUGCAAGAGCUCCAGAUGUGCCUCCAGCUCUCCCGCUGAAGAAUCCAGCUCAAGGUUUGAACAAAACAUGAUGGGGCUUCGUCGUGGCCCUGUGGAGUGGGAUGAGGAGGUUUACGGAGGGCCAGAGCUGGCAGAGACACCAAAUUUGGUAAGAAGCUGUAGUUUCUGUGUAUCUUGGUGUUAAACAAAAAUGAGACAGAUUG
This 337-nucleotide long non-coding RNA is filed under the name Astyanax mexicanus (Mexican tetra). RNAcentral describes it as "lncRNA (ENSAMXG00005021428.1)". The record is from RNAcentral. Lineage: Eukaryota; Metazoa; Chordata; Actinopteri; Characiformes; Acestrorhamphidae.